AGCCCAUGCGCGGAUGCGGGACUGAUGAUCGCCCAGGCGGCUCUGGAAUUCCCUCAGGGGGUGGAGAGGAGGGACCUGGGGACCUCUGAGUUUCCAACGACCCUCCAUUCCAGUUUCCUACGAUUCCAUUGCUUCCUAAGAAACUGCCUGGUGACUUGGAGCCUGCCCCAGGCCUUGGGCCCCAGUCCGGACCCGGGGAGCCCCGGGGCAGGAGUCGGCGGGGACCCAGCGCGUCCUGGGGCAGCGGGGACCGGGAAGAUGUCCCCGCCAGCCUGCGGAGCCCCGCUUCUCAGCGCUCCUGAGUAGCAGUUCUGGGAGGGAGAGGCGUCGCGUUGCAAGAAAGCUGUUGGAAGCACCAAGAAUUAGCGUGAUCUCUCAGCAAUUGGGAGUCAGGACGUGUUGCUUCCAUCCAGGCUACAAACCAAUGUUUGUCAUCUUUGGGAUACACCAGUGUGAAGGAAACCUGGAAUACCAGUACUGACCAUUUCAAGCCUGAUCUGUCUCCACAUGGGAUCAGCUAUUUCUUGGUGGCAGCUGGCUGAGAACAUUCUAGGGCAGCAUUUCCAGUGCAUAUUUCAGGAGCGUGUUCAGAAUUGUUUAUGAGAUCAUAGGCUCUAUGAGCAAAUGAACUGGGGAAGACAGGGAUCAAUUGACCAAGUUAAUUAAAGCUGCUUCCUUACAGCA
Callithrix jacchus (white-tufted-ear marmoset) is the source of this 684-nucleotide long non-coding RNA. RefSeq lists it as uncharacterized. NCBI's taxonomy places the organism in Eukaryota, Metazoa, Chordata, Mammalia, Primates, Cebidae. The record is from RefSeq and is a predicted model, not a curated record.